This 214-nucleotide long non-coding RNA is filed under the name Lathyrus oleraceus (garden pea). RNAcentral describes it as "Pisum sativum (pea) long non-coding RNA (PSAT_LNC001191)". Lineage: Eukaryota; Viridiplantae; Streptophyta; Magnoliopsida; Fabales; Fabaceae. The record is from RNAcentral.
AAUGCCAAUCACUGGACUUACAUCAGCAUCCGAACCAAAACACACACAAAAAGGAAAACGUGGAGCCCGAACGCCAAUCACUGGACUUACAUCGGCAUCCGAACCAAAACACACGCACACUGGAACCCGAAUGCCACUCGAUGGACUUACAUCAGCUUCCAAGCACACAACAACCAAACAAGUUAAUAGGGAGUCGGGAACUCGAGCCUAUAAC